GGCGAGGUAGCUCAGUUGGUUAGAGCACAGGACUCAUAAGCCUGGGGUCGGCGGUUCGAAUCCGCCCCUCGCUACCA
Molecule: transfer RNA, 77 nt
Filed under: Pseudomonadota bacterium
Lineage: Bacteria; Pseudomonadati; Pseudomonadota
Also listed under: 12 other names
Description: tRNA-Met
Rfam family: tRNA
About the family: Transfer RNA (tRNA) molecules are approximately 80 nucleotides in length. Their secondary structure includes four short double-helical elements and three loops (D, anti-codon, and T loops).
Source: RNAcentral